ACAGGGAUUGCCCUAGUAACGGCGAGUGAAGCGGCAACAGCUCAAAUUUGAAAUCUGGCUCUUUCAGAGUCCGAGUUGUAAUUUGCAGAGGGCGCUUUGGCGUUGGCAGCGGUCCAAGUUCCUUGGAACAGGACGUCACAGAGGGUGAGAAUCCCGUACGUGGUCGCUGGCCUUCGCCGUGUAAAGCCCCUUCGACGAGUCGAGUUGUUUGGGAAUGCAGCUCUAAAUGGGAGGUAAAUUUCUUCUAAAGCUAAAUACUGGCCAGAGACCGAUAGCGCACAAGUAGAGUGAUCGAAAGAUGAAAAGCACUUUGGAAAGAGAGUCAAAUAGCACGUGAAAUUGUUGAAAGGGAAGCGCUUGCAGCCAGACUUGCCUGUAGUUGCUCAUCCGGGCUUUUGCCCGGUGCACUCUUCUGCGGGCAGGCCAGCAUCAGUUUGGGCGGUUGGAUAAAGGUCUCUGUCAUGUACCUCUCUUCGGGGAGGCCUUAUAGGGGAGACGUCAUACAACCAGCCUGGACUGAGGUCCGCGCAUUUAUGCUAGGAUGCUGGCGUAAUGGCUGUAAGCGGCCCGUCUUGAAACACGGACCAAGGAGUCUAACAUCUAUGCGAGUGUUUGGGUGUCAAGCCCGAACGCGUAAUGAAAGUGAACGGAGGUGGGACCCCAUUAGGGUGCACCAUCGACCGAUCCUGAUGUCUUCGGAUGGAUUUGAGUAAGAGCAUGGCUGUUGGGACCCGAAAGAUGGUGAACUAUGCUUGAAUAGGGUGAAGCCAGAGGAAACUCUGGUGGAGGCUCGCAGCGGUUCUGACGUGCAAAUCGAUCGUCAAAUUUGGGCAUAGGGGCGAAAGACUAA
RNAcentral lists this ribosomal RNA (850 nucleotides) under Camarosporidiella laburni. Its description in RNAcentral is "eukaryotic LSU rRNA". It matches the Rfam family "Eukaryotic large subunit ribosomal RNA", at positions 68 to 934 of the family's 3401-position model. Lineage: Eukaryota; Fungi; Ascomycota; Dothideomycetes; Pleosporales. The record is from RNAcentral. RNAcentral also lists the same sequence under 1 other name.